GGUCCUGUAGUGUAGUGGUUAUCACAGUGGAUUUUGAUUCCAUUAACCCCGGUUCGAAUCCGGGCCGGACCU
This is a transfer RNA of 72 nucleotides. It matches the Rfam family "tRNA". From Rfam's summary of the family: Transfer RNA (tRNA) molecules are approximately 80 nucleotides in length. Their secondary structure includes four short double-helical elements and three loops (D, anti-codon, and T loops). Further hydrogen bonds mediate the characteristic L-shaped molecular structure. tRNAs have two regions of fundamental functional importance: the anti-codon, which is responsible for specific mRNA codon recognition, and the 3' end, to which the tRNAs corresponding amino acid is attached (by aminoacyl-tRNA synthetases). tRNAs cope with the degeneracy of the genetic code in two manners: having more than one tRNA (with a specific anti-codon) for a particular amino acid; and 'wobble' base-pairing, i.e. permitting non-standard base-pairing at the 3rd anti-codon position.